GCCUCCCCUUCCUUCAGCUCCUGCUUGAAGGGAAAACAAAGGACGUGCAUCUGGCCGGCUUUGCUUAUUAUGGCUCUUUGUUAUCCAGCAGAGGACUGGAUUCAUCAUGGAGCUCUUUCUGUGUUCGGUCUUCUCGGUCGUUUUUGCCUGAGGAAACAAAAGAUGUGGUGACUGCGAAGCCUCUUCCUGCCAAGGAAGUCUGUGAGCUAAUGUGCCCAGCCGAGAAUAUUCCCAAGGAGUCUGGUCCCCGCAUGCCUCCUUGUGGGAUACUUUGGACAUCAGCUCUUCUCACUGAUCACGCGGGUCCUUGUGGCAGAGCAUGCUUGAGGCUGAUUGAGGUAAGGCACAUGGGACAUCCCAAGGCGCGUUUUCUUAUGAUGCUGUCUUAUUACAUGCUUUUCACUUGAGUUGUGUUCUCUGCACUGGCUGCCCUGCCAUCUUCCCUGAUUGCCUUCUAGGGGCCACAUCCCUUGCCACCAUGCCCGCUGAAGCCCCCGGGGCUUUUCUCCAGGCUUCCUGAGCCCAGGAAGAUGCUGCCUUUGCUCUGUGCCGUUUUGUACUAGUAGCUGCGCCUCAGUAUCCCACAGCUGGGCAAAGCUGGUUGGGAUCUGAUUCUCUCCUCUAACGUGUUGGCGAUCCUUCUCAACUCAGAGACAGCCUGGAGGGUCAGAUGGAGGGCUGGAGAGCCAGAAUAACCCGGGAACGUCUCUUAGAUGCUGGAUUCAGUCAAACUCUCUCUACAGCGUCUCCCUGACCUACCCAUCCCCUAACCGUGUUCAUGGUGUGCCCCGGCUUAUUCUUAGGAGGCUGAGCCUGCUCUCUGAGACGGCUGCUUACUCUUCCAAAGAGCCCUUCACUAGCCCCUUCAUAAUGCAUUUUAUAAUUUUGCAUCUCAGCCCGGAUCACGCGCCUCCAUCGCAGGGUCCCCAGGAUCUCUUAGUGCUCCGGGCUCUGGGCUGGAGGCACACUGGCACAAAACCCACCAUUGCCUUUUCUCUAGGAGCAGAGAAGUAAAUAUGAAGUGAUGUGGGGUGGGGGGUCAAGAGAGACC
This 1051-nucleotide long non-coding RNA is filed under the name Monodelphis domestica (gray short-tailed opossum). RNAcentral describes it as "lncRNA (ENSMODG00000051223.1)". The record is from RNAcentral. Lineage: Eukaryota; Metazoa; Chordata; Mammalia; Didelphimorphia; Didelphidae.